Molecule: unclassified non-coding RNA, 369 nt
Filed under: Hevea brasiliensis (rubber tree)
Lineage: Eukaryota; Viridiplantae; Streptophyta; Magnoliopsida; Malpighiales; Euphorbiaceae
Source: RNAcentral
CAAAUCUAUCUUGCUAGCUCUAAGCCAUUGCAUGAUCGAAUCCUCCAUUUUUCUUUAGCUUCUCCUUUUCACUUUUCGAGCUCGCUCGUAGCUUUCACUCUGCUGUGGAGAGAGAUGGCAACCAACGGAGAUGUGGCGAUGAAAGGGAACGGAACGGCGAUGCCGAAGUCGCCGAUGAGGUUGAGAAAGAUCACGACGAGCGACAAACAUGAUGGGAUCUGCCAAGAUAUGAGCGCACCCACCGUGAAGGCCCAGACCAUUGACGAGCUUCACUCCCUUCAGAGGAAGAAAUCUGCGCCGACGACACCAAAUCAAGGAAUUCAAGGUGCCUUUGCUGCUAUCUCUGAAGAAGAACGCCAAAAACAGCAG